Molecule: ribosomal RNA, 490 nt
Filed under: Synechococcus sp. CCY0416
Lineage: Bacteria; Bacillati; Cyanobacteriota; Cyanophyceae; Synechococcales; Synechococcaceae
Description: bacterial SSU rRNA
Rfam family: Bacterial small subunit ribosomal RNA
Source: RNAcentral
AUGGCUGGCGUCAGCUCGUGUCGUGAGAUGUUGGGUUAAGUCCCGCAACGAGCGCAACCCACGUCUUUAGUUGCCAGCAUUCAGUUGGGCACUCUAGAGAGACCGCCGGUGAUAAACCGGAGGAAGGUGUGGAUGACGUCAAGUCAUCAUGCCCCUUACAUCCUGGGCUACACACGUACUACAAUGCUACGGACAAAGGGCAGCAAACUCGCGAGAGCUAGCAAAUCCCAUAAACCGUGGCUCAGUUCAGAUCGUAGGCUGCAACUCGCCUACGUGAAGGAGGAAUCGCUAGUAAUCGCAGGUCAGCAUACUGCGGUGAAUACGUUCCCGGGCCUUGUACACACCGCCCGUCACACCAUGGAAGUUGGCCAUGCCCGAAGUCGUUACUCCAACCCGCAAGGGAGGAGGACGCCGAAGGUGGGGCUGAUGACUGGGGUGAAGUCGUAACAAGGUAGCCGUACCGGAAGGUGCGGCUGGAUCACCUCCUAAC